CAUUGAGAAGGCAUGUGCGGACGAUGG
This 27-nucleotide non-coding RNA is filed under the name Cricetulus griseus (Chinese hamster). The record is from RNAcentral. Lineage: Eukaryota; Metazoa; Chordata; Mammalia; Rodentia; Cricetidae.